AAAUCAGGGGUCAGUCUGAAAGUGGGGUGAGAGUCAGAGUGUGGCCAGAGUUGUUGGGGUUCGGCCAGACUGUGGCAGGGUUUGGGGAUACGUGUGGGCAGAAGUUGGCAGCAGUCAGUCUGGGGGCCCCGUUCGCAGACAGGGUGUGAGGGUUGGUCUGAGCAGCGUCAGAGGUCAAGGUUAGUGAGUCAGUGUGUGAGUAAGGUCAGUGGACCUCCGGAUCAGGGUAGUAGGUCACCCUGAGACCAGGAUUUGGGGCUUGCCUCUGACAAGCCAGAUAGGAGGAGGGCACUGGAGGCCUCAGAACUCAGAUUCCUAUCCCUCCGUGCUGGGGGCUGACCACAGCCUCCCCCGUCACCCAAGCCAUGGAGCUGACCUUCCAUGUGGGGCCACUCCCUGUGCUCAGCACCACUCUGCUCCUACUUUGUGCCAGAAGCUAGAGGCAGAAACCCUCAUCGGGCCAGACUGUGGUCAAAGGGAGCCCAGACUGGCGGUAACACUGGCCAUGGUAGGGUAGCCUUAAGCUUCUGGGGGACCCCAUCCUGGAGCCACCCAUGUUUAACAGCUCAUUUAAAUCUGUGCAAAGCAAUGGAUCACACAGAGUGGCCUCUGCCAGCCACCGCAGCCCUGCGGGUACUCUCUCUGUGAGUCUGGGAAUCAGACAGUUGCUGGUUGAACUCCGAGCUUUGUCGUGUGUGAGCUGUGCCAUCGACAGUGAAAUUGACAUUUCAGGAAGAUGUACCAGAUUUUUAUCACAUGGCUUUGUGAAACCCGGCACCCAGCCAACUUCACACACAAUCACAUAUGUGCAUACGGAUGUACGCUUUGAGAAGGCCAUGCUCCGCUGGGCUGCUUCCUAAAUGGGCCGAAGCAAGCCCUCUUAGCCCUGAGGACUGCCUGCGCUCUCUGUCCUGCUCAUCAUGCUCUGUGGAGUGAAGCGAGAAAGGGUGCUCACAUCUCAGCAGGAGCGUGUUCCUUGGCAAGACUGACCUGGGAGGAAUUCCUGGCUCUGGCCCUUAACCUGAGUGUCAGACCGUGGGUGCCAGUCCUGGCCCUCUCCUCUCCUUGCUGUGCAACCCUGGGCACCUAGCUUUGCCUCUCUGAGCCUCAGCUUCUUAUCUGUGAAACGCUUUCUACCUUUCAGGCUUGUUGUGAGGAUCAGAGAAAUGCAUAAAAAGGGCCUGCACAUAGUCAUGGCUCCACAAGUGAGAGCUCUUAAAAGUCUGGCUGGUGUUUUAGCUCCAUAAAAGCUAUCUUUUAUAUGUACUUUAAUAAAACGGGGCUACGGUCUGUGUGCCUUACACAAUUAAUACACUUUCUUGCAUUUGAACACAUCUGUUAAUCCAAUCAAGGUGUUUUUCCUCCUAAAUUAUCUUCUUUCAUAUUUUAUUCAUAUUUUACAAUGUCUGGGCACGUCGUUGAAGCCGACUGAGCCUCAGUUUCCUCAUCUCUAAAAUGGGAAAAAUGCCUUUCUUACAAGGUUGUUUCGAGAAUUCAACGAGACGGUGUAUGUGAAAAUGCUUUGUAGAUUGUAAAGUCGAACACGUGCCAGAGAUAUUUUCCUGUACGCCCCUCCCUCUCACUAGGCUGAAUUCCUCAAAGACAAGAGAGAGUUUUGUUGACCUUUAUUCAGCCCCAGCAUUGAAUGUGUACUAAUAAAUUUAAUAAUAAUGGUGAGGGAGAUAGGAAUUCUCAUUUCUUGAACGCUCCCUGUGAACGAGGCUCUGGGCUGAGGGCAUCCUAAUGGAAGGAUGAGUGACAGACGUUUAAAAGGUUUGGGUUCCCUCUGCUGCUGAUUGAAAGGUGAAGGGAUUGUCGUCCUUUUCCCUAGGGCAAGUUCUGUUUUCCAUGCUGCAGACAAAUUAAUUUCAUUCUUGGGUCUUUUCCAUUGUUUGGCCAAUCCAUUGUAUAACAAUAAUAGCACUCGUUAGUUUCCUUAUGUAUAAAAUGGGGCUAAUGAUCAACUGGCCUCAUGUAAAGGUGGCUCAUAAAUGACAGUAACUUUCCCUUCCUCCUUUCCUUCCUCCCCAGCUACGCACACCCUUCCCUUGGAGAAGAAGUUGGUGAUGGGGCGAGAUGAUUAAGCUGGGCGGCAAAGAGCUGAGUCCCUUCACCCCUCUGGGCUUUUGUUUCUUUUUGGCACAGGGUGGCAGAUCUUUUAGGAAUAAAGCCCUGAUUCUGAGACCUUCUGAGCCCUUCCUCAUUCAGAAAAUCUCUCUCAUCUGCCAUAGCACCGAAGAUUCCACUCACCAAAUACCACGUGUCCCCUCU
Long non-coding RNA from Equus caballus (horse), 2271 nucleotides. NCBI's taxonomy places the organism in Eukaryota, Metazoa, Chordata, Mammalia, Perissodactyla, Equidae. The record is from Ensembl.